GUCUUAGCUCUCACUUCCCGGGCUGCCUCCCGGGGAUUCUUUCCCGGCCCGGAAUCGGAAUCGUGCCCCCAGCCACCGCCCCCAAGCCCCUGAGCCCCCUCGAUGGGCCGGCUUGGCCCAGUGUCAUGCUGGACAGAGAUGCCCAACAGAUAGCGGAGGACAGUGGAAAUGCAGGCUUAGACUUCCUUAAGGUAAGACCAUUUUCCACCGGAUUGUUUCUCGAUGUGAUUUCUGCGUUUGUCUCCACAGAAAUGCUGGCAUCGCAGAAGGUAAACUACAGGGAGGCAGGGAAGUUGUUUAGUUAGGCCUUCAUGAUGAAUUCCUACGUGAUUUGGCUGUCAGAUGUGCUGGCAGAAUGAUUCCAAGGCAUAAAUAAAGAUGUACAACGGGAAGGGUGGACAAAGGCCUGUGGUCCUUGCGGGCAGUCGGCACUUCUCUGCGCGCUCCUUCCUGUGUGAGAGAAGCUGAAGUGAUGCCAAGUGACCCUUCACUAGGACCAGCAAAUAUAUAUGUGCUUGUGCAGAAGGUUUCUUCCAGCCAUGCAACCCCAGGAUUUACCAUCUGAUUCUAAUUACCACUUCUUUUUAAAGCUCCCUUUAAUUUUUUAUCUUGUGAUAUGAAAGCAGUUUUUCCUUUGAGGGUCUGCCCAGAUUAGGGGAGUCAGUGGUGCACAGGCUUUGAUGGCCCUGCUUGGCUCACUUCCCUCCACCCUUGUGGUCAUCCAGAUUUGAGCAGCAGUGAGAUGCUUAGGAAUAUGGGGCCACGAUCCUGAUUAAGCUUCAGCUCUGCUCUGAUUUCAUUUUAUGUACUUUUAAGUUGAUUGAGAAGUAACUUUGGGGACCAUCCUGACUUCCCGUGGGGACCUCUCCUUGGACCUGCUGUCAGCAUGCUUUCAUUCCAGGGUUGAGGCACCCAGGGGUGGUGAGAGGACUCGUGGUUUGGACUUACAGCUUUGCUUGUUUGUACUGACAGGGAGGAGACAAUUGUGUGUGUGUGGUUUUUUUAAUGAAAAUUGUCUGUAAAUGGGUAAAGAUCCAUUUAUAAAUCCAAAGAGGUUCUGAGACUUUACCCACCACGUUAAUUGCAAAGGUAAUACAGAGAUGUUCCUCAAUUCUAAAUGAUUCAAUUCAAGUAAUAAACAGUAAGGACAGACAGCAGUGGUGAAAACCAGGCAAUAAGCCUUCAGAAGCCAUAUGCUUGCAAUCUGUUAAUCCUGAAAUGUGUGUUUGUCUUCCAAUAUUUAUAGCCAGUUGGAAAUCUCCAUCUUUCUCAGCCGUUAGCUAACUCUUCUUGAUAAAGACAUUUUCCUGUAAUAGGAGCAAUGUAUUGGUAAUCCUAACUAUAAAUAUUUAAAUGACUGUUUUGAUGAAUGAAAGUGUCAGAAAUGACAUUGCCCAUGAGAAGAAAUGUGGUCAUUACACACAUCGACAGAAAUCCUUUAAAAUACAACUGAAUUUAUUUUAUUUUUAUUUUUUAUUUUUAUUUUUUUGGUCUUUUUGCCUUUUCUGGGGCCGCUCCUGCAGCAGGUUCCCAGGCUGGGGGUCGAAUCGGAGCUGUAGCCACUGGCCUACACUACAGCUCACAGCAACGCUGGAUCGUUAACCCACUGAGCAAGGCCAGGGAUCGAACCCGCAACCUCAUGGUUCCUAGUCAGAUUCGUUAACCACUGAGCCACGACAGGAACUCCCCAUUAAGUGAAUUUAUUAAUGUCGAGGGAGUUAAAAAGGAGGAAUGAAUGUUGUAAACUAAACAAAUGUUGAUUUAUUUAGCACUGAUGGAAAUUUCACAAUUCUACCUUGCUUACAACCUAGAGUGUAUACAUCAAAAAUGAUUUCCUGGGUUAAGGAUAAGUUACCAUUGUAUGGGGGAGGAAUAAAUACCAUUUGAGCCGGAAUCACUAUCC
Molecule: long non-coding RNA, 1903 nt
Filed under: Sus scrofa (pig)
Lineage: Eukaryota; Metazoa; Chordata; Mammalia; Artiodactyla; Suidae
Description: lncRNA (ENSSSCG00000041895.1)
Source: RNAcentral